RNAcentral lists this ribosomal RNA (409 nucleotides) under uncultured bacterium. Its description in RNAcentral is "partial 16S ribosomal RNA". It matches the Rfam family "Bacterial small subunit ribosomal RNA", at positions 355 to 774 of the family's 1533-position model. The record is from RNAcentral.
UGGGGAAUAUUGCACAAUGGGGGAAACCCUGAUGCAGCGACGCCGCGUGGGGGAUGACGGCCUUCGGGUUGUAAACCUCUUUCAGUAGGGAAGAAGCCUUCGGGUGACGGUACCUGCAGAAGAAGUACCGGCUAACUACGUGCCAGCAGCCGCGGUAAUACGUAGGGUACAAGCGUUGUCCGGAAUUAUUGGGCGUAAAGAGCUCGUAGGUGGUCUGUCACGUCUGCUGUGGAAACGCAAGGCUCAACCUUGCGCGUGCAGUGGGUACGGGCGGACUAGAGUGCAGUAGGGGAGUCUGGAAUUCCUGGUGUAGCGGUGAAAUGCGCAGAUAUCAGGAGGAACACCGGUGGCGAAGGCGGGACCCUGGGCUGUAACUGACGCUGAGGAGCGAAAGCAUGGGGAGCGAACA